Molecule: long non-coding RNA, 1432 nt
Filed under: Phoenix dactylifera (date palm)
Lineage: Eukaryota; Viridiplantae; Streptophyta; Magnoliopsida; Arecales; Arecaceae
Description: long non-coding RNA (PDAC_LNC014701)
Source: RNAcentral
UUGCAUUUUUGUAACUUUCAUUAUAUACUUCAAUGAUUGCAUCAUUUUGGGGAAUAACUCAAUAUGAUUUCUAGAUAAAAACUACGAUUUAAGAAAAAUAGAAUUACUUUGGAUACCUUGGUUGUUUGCUCCGAUACGCAUCUGAAACAUAUCAUUUUUUAUCUUAUAAGUGUACUAAAAUUGGUCUAAAUAAUGUGUUUUUCAAUGAUCUUGAUUGCAAAUAAAUGGUUCUAAACAUAUGAUAUUAUUUUGAUAUUAAAAAAAUUUAUGGUACUUCAUAUAUACAUUGCUGAAAAGCUAUGACUAAGAAAUUAAUACUUUGAAUAUACACUCCUACAUAAUUAAAUGCUUCUAUCAUUAAAAGGAAAAGCUAUUUUUAAGAAGAGAGUUAAUGAUCCUAAAACUUAGAAUAUUUCAACUCACUUCAAUAAUUCUUAUAGGAAAGAAAAUGUAAUUACUUUUGAAAGAAAUUUGAGCUUCAAAAGAAUUAUUUUCUGAUUAAUAUUUCCAUACAUAUUCAAAAAAAAAUAAGAGGAAAUAUAAUUUAUUUUGAAAGAUUAAAAAGAGUGAUUGUAUAAAUUUUGAAAAAUUCUGGAUCACUCUACAUUCUUGAUAUUAUAGAAGAACAAAAAAAAAAAGGUUUGAAAGACAAUGCAUCUUUUGAGGGGGAGCUUUAAAUACUCAAUCUCUUUAUUGAAAAUUAUCUUCAAACUCUAAACUCUCAAAUGGAAUGAUUAAUUAAGGGGGAGAAAGAAAAUUUCAGAGUGAGAGAUCAUAUAGAACUUAAUCGUAUAAAUUCACAUCUAAAGAUGAGACAAAGAAUACUAAAUGUAAAGUGGUAUUAAACUUUGUGCUUCAUUGAAUAUCUUUUGAAAGUUGGAUUUCCAUCUAUAUUCAUCGGUAAAUCAUUUAUUUCUGAAAAUUAAUUGAAAGUUGGAUUUCCAUCUGUAUUCAUCGGUAAAUUAUUUAUUUCUGAAAAUUAAUUGAAAAGGAUUCCAUCUGUCUUAGUUUCGAAAAUUUAUCUUAGAAUCUACUUAUGAGUUCUUAUUGGCUUGCACUUUAUGUUUCAAUCCUGAGCCAAUUCAUUUUAAUUGAUUUUGAUGCUAUGAUCUUUAAUGGAGUAGAAGAAAGUCUUUAAGAGAGCUCUAAAAGAACUUUCAAAGUCUUGAAUUUUAUGUAUCCUACACUGCAUAAAUUCAUGUUUUGGUAUCUAUGCCCCAAUACUUUUAUAUCAUGAAAGAACUUUGAAGUCAUUAAGAAUUAAGGGUUCAAUAUAAUCUUAUGUUUUUCGAGUAUAUAAGGUUUGAUCUUUAUUUGCUCUUAUACUAUACUCUGAAAAUUAAUUAGAUUGCUCUCAUCUUGCUAUAUACUUAAUAUAUAUAUAUAUAAAGGUGUUGAAUUUUCAUUCAUGCCUUCUUUGAAUAUUAUUCUU